Non-coding RNA from Delphinapterus leucas (beluga whale), 602 nucleotides. The record is from RefSeq and is a predicted model, not a curated record. Lineage: Eukaryota; Metazoa; Chordata; Mammalia; Artiodactyla; Monodontidae.
GUAACCACCAUUCCCUCAGCGCAUCCACACAGACACGCACACACAAGCACGUCAGGACCCUCUGUUUUGCAUAAGGAGUUGCUCUCCAGUGAUGUUUUGGGCACUGAAUUCAGAGACAUACUGCUCCAGAUUUAGGCUCAUUAGCCAGUGAGAAACCUGCUGCACGCUCCAUUCAUGAACGGCCCGACUCAGACACUGACUGUGUUUGGGAGACUGUCCGUCAUCAAGAAUCUGAGAGUUUCAGGAGAAGGCUGAAGGGGACUUGCAGAUGCAGGCAGGUUCCUGAAGGAAUAGGAUCCUUUCCGGCUUUCGUUAAACCACGAGAAAGGCAGGCCCGCUGAUGGCGUGGAGGCCUGAGCAGUGGAGGACAGCUUCGGUUUCCAGUGUUCCAGCCUGCCGCUGAAGAUCCUGGGUUAUGAAAAGAACGGGUAUGUUAGACAAAGAAAAGGCAGAUGUAAAACUUAUUGAAAUGAAUUCUGAAGGGACUCUGAAUAGAGUUUGAAGUCAUAGUUUGAGAAAUUAUUCUACACAACGGAUAGAGUAAAAAUGUUGCCCUUUUGACUAGAACGUUAAUCUUAAUAGUUAUCUUUUUUUUGUUAAUU